Long non-coding RNA from Homo sapiens (human), 827 nucleotides. Ensembl annotates it as OSER1 divergent transcript. Its record names the gene OSER1-DT. NCBI's taxonomy places the organism in Eukaryota, Metazoa, Chordata, Mammalia, Primates, Hominidae. The record is from Ensembl.
GUCACCCAGGCUGGAGUGAAAUGGCACAAUCUUGGCUCACUGUAACCUCCGCCCCCAGGUUCGACUGAUUCUCGUGCCUCAGCCUCCUCAGUAGCUGGGAUUACAGGAUGGAGAGUAAAGGAGGUAAAGGAGGACUCUGAUGCCUCAGCCAUGCGCCUGUGUGCCGAUUCCCAUUAAGCCUGCACCAAUUUGAUUUCCAAGACUCCAGUCAAUCCUCAGAGCUCCAGGAGGGGAGGGGCAGCUUUUCCUGGUAGCUGCUGAUCACCAGCAGAGGGAGCCCUAGGACUGCAGGGCCUCUUUCCUUACCGUUGGUGAAGCCCUUCACUGUGGCUUCAAAACUGUGGAAGACCCGGGAUUUGUGGAUCACUUGCCUUUAGAAUAGAAUCAAGAAAUAAAGCUGCAGAAGAAAGAAUCUCCAUGUGAAUUUUACACCUGGAACUCCUGGGUGGGAAGGUAUAAACCGUUUAAAGUCUCCGGCAACACACUAAUAAAUUGCUUCAAAGGAAAGUUCUCAACCGUUACUCUCAGCAGUGUGUGUAUUAGGGCCAUCCUCACCACACCCUUUCAGGUAGCGAGAUGAGCCCCAGAGAGGCGAAGCCACUUGAGCUCGUGAGUGACAGUCAGAUGUCAAGCCCUGCUCUUUCUAAAGCGUGCUGCCUUCAGAAAAGAAGAGCCAGAAGGAUGGAAAUUACUUCAGAAAGAUGAAUACCAGCUUUGAAGGAAUAAAAGCUGACGAGGAAUUGAAGGAGUUGAGGCACGAGCUUGAACAGGGUUGCAUGUUUGGCCCUUGAUUGUAAAUGCCCAUUGCUGCACCUGUUCCUGUUACU